GAGCCCGUAGCUUAGCCAGGACAAAGCGAGAGCCUCCGGAGCUCUAGAACCCGGGUUCAAAUCCCGGCGGGCUCA
RNAcentral lists this transfer RNA (75 nucleotides) under Acidianus manzaensis. RNAcentral's name for it is "tRNA-Arg". It matches the Rfam family "tRNA". From Rfam's summary of the family: Transfer RNA (tRNA) molecules are approximately 80 nucleotides in length. Their secondary structure includes four short double-helical elements and three loops (D, anti-codon, and T loops). Lineage: Archaea; Thermoproteati; Thermoproteota; Thermoprotei; Sulfolobales; Sulfolobaceae. The record is from RNAcentral.